CGAACUGUGCAAACGUUAUUCGGAAUCACUGGGCUUAAAGGGUGCGUAGGCGGUCUUGUAAGUAGGGUGUGAAAGCCCCCGGCUCAACCGGGGAACUGCGUCCUAAACUGCGAGGCUAGAGUGAGGUAGGGGUGUGUGGAACUUCCAGUGGAGCGGUGAAAUGUGUUGAUAUUGGAAGGAACGCCGGUGGCGAAAGCGACACACUGGACCUUGUCUGACGCUGAGGCACGAAAGCCAGGGGAGCAAACGGGAUUAGAUACCCCGGUAGUCCUGGCCGUAAACGCUGAGUACUAGUGGGGAGGGACCUGCGUCCUUCCUCACGGAGCGAAAGUUUUAAGUACUCCGCCUGGGGAGUAUGGUCGCAAGGCUG
Molecule: ribosomal RNA, 370 nt
Filed under: uncultured organism
Description: bacterial SSU rRNA
Rfam family: Bacterial small subunit ribosomal RNA
Source: RNAcentral